CAAAUUUACGUUGUGAGCUACUUGCAGCAAAAUAUAGUGCGGCAUCGAAACUUGAAGCCGUUAACAUUUUAAUUUUUAAUUCUUGUGUGCCAAACUGCCAAAUUUUAGUUCUUGUUAUCGGUCUUCUUCAUCUCAUGUCAGAUGCGUCCACACUUCUAUCACAUCCGACAAAAAACUUGCACGUUUUAAGUGAGAAUGAAGAAGGUUUUAAGGCAUUCUGUUCUACCAGCGAUUACGGAGAAUUGUGACUAGACAAGGAACAUUGCUAGUUUUUGUUGAAGAAUUUUGGAAGAACGAAGAAGGUUACCUAUUCUCUUUGUUUAGUAAUGUGAUUUUAAGUUAGUGGAAUUUAGCUAUUGCUUGAAAGAGUUACUUGAGUGUAUUGUUAUUGAGGUUAGUGGAAGCACUUAGAGCAUCUCAAAUGAGAGUAUGUAAUGUCAAAUACAUACUCUCACCAAUAUCUAUUACUAUUGGAGCAUAUUUUUAAU
Lotus japonicus is the source of this 488-nucleotide long non-coding RNA. RefSeq lists it as uncharacterized. Lineage: Eukaryota; Viridiplantae; Streptophyta; Magnoliopsida; Fabales; Fabaceae. The record is from RefSeq and is a predicted model, not a curated record. The transcript has 3 exons.